This 424-nucleotide ribosomal RNA is filed under the name uncultured bacterium. Its description in RNAcentral is "bacterial SSU rRNA". It matches the Rfam family "Bacterial small subunit ribosomal RNA", at positions 355 to 796 of the family's 1533-position model. The record is from RNAcentral.
UGGGGAAUAUUGGACAAUGGGCGCAAGCCUGAUCCAGCCAUGCCGCGUGAGUGAUGAAGGCCUUAGGGUUGUAAAGCUCUUUCGCGCGCGACGAUAAUGACGGUAGCGCGAGAAGAAGCCCCGGCUAACUUCGUGCCAGCAGCCGCGGUAAUACGAAGGGGGCUAGCGUUGUUCGGAAUCACUGGGCGUAAAGCGCAUGCAGGCGGAUUGUUAAGUCGGGGGUGAAAUCCCGAGGCUCAACCUCGGAACUGCCUUCGAUACUGGCAAUCUUGAGUCCGGGAGAGGUGAGUGGAACUGCGAGUGUAGAGGUGAAAUUCGUAGAUAUUCGCAAGAACACCAGUGGCGAAGGCGGCUCACUGGCCCGGUACUGACGCUGAGGUGCGAAAGCGUGGGGAGCAAACAGGAUUAGAUACCCCGGUAGUCC